Molecule: long non-coding RNA, 3750 nt
Filed under: Sarcophilus harrisii (Tasmanian devil)
Lineage: Eukaryota; Metazoa; Chordata; Mammalia; Dasyuromorphia; Dasyuridae
Description: lncRNA (ENSSHAG00000022082.1)
Source: RNAcentral
CGUUUUGUAGAUGGCACCAACUUGAGUUUUAUCAUCAUAGAGCUGCCCACAGAGAACCACAAAGAAUCCUUCAAACCAACUCCGUUUAUUUUCUUUUUCCCAUUCCCUGAAACUUCUUGGAUAAUUAUGGAUUCCCCCUGAGAAUAAUUGAGUUGAAUAGAAAACAAUCUUAUUUUGUUCUAUUUCCUUAUAAAUCCUAAUGUGACACAAAGAAAAGUCUCAUUCGCUCUGGACAAUGAGGCUCCAAGGUAGCUACCAUGUGGCUGAUGAAUAUGCUGAGAUCACUUCCUAUUUCUAUUUGAAACCCUGCUGUUUAAUUUAUAUCUUUAGAAAUUUUUUUAAGGGGGGGGGGGUUGGCUUGGUUUUGCUUUCCCCAACAACAACAGUAAAAUAAUUUUGAUGGUUUUUUUUUUUAAGCCAAAUGGGGACAAAAUGAAAUCACCCCACCAAACGUUUUAACCACUGCCAUGUAUUUUGUGUUCAAAUUGUUUAACCUGUGCCACACUGUCAAAGAUCUCAUCUCAUACCAAAAAGGAAAGAGAAAAUGUUUCUUCUCUGUACAUGAGUUAGUUCACCCUUCUCUGUCUUCUGACCUGUGAAUUUUCUCAAGUGUCAAACCAAGUCUGAAAAAUAGCAGUAUACACAGGUAAGCACUAGCAGGUUCCUAGCACAAGCCCUAUUGGAGAGAGAAAAAUAAACACAAGCAAACCAGCUCUGCCAUGUUUGCUUGGAAAUAGUGGUAAAUGGAAGGAACCCUGAUAUAGUAAUAAACUGUAGUUGAGAGAAUAAUUUUUUUUUAAGAUCACACUUGUCUAAAAACAAAACCAAUAUCCUCGAUCUUUAAGAUCACAAUUGUCUAAAAUUAAAACCAGGGUCCUGGAUCUUUGCAUUUGGCCUACUAUUUUAAUUGUCCAAUUAGCCUUACCUAUUGAUUCCUAAUUGACUGAUAGACUUCUAUAAAGUCUUCAGGGCAAGAGGGCCUGACCUUAAAUAUCAGAACUAAAAUCAAUAAAUACAUUCCAUAAAUAUUUUUUGUCACAUCCAAAUUGUAGUCAACAGUCAGUGGAAAACAAAUGAAUACUUUCUUUUCACCAAGAUGAGAGGCUGUCAGAGGGAAAAUAUAUAUGAUAACUGGGAGCUUCUAAAUAACUCCUCAUGUCUUCUAAAGGAAACAUGUAUGUGAUCACAGAAGGAUUAUAAGGGAACUGAAUAUGCAAAUGAGUCCUGGUAACAGAGGCUGCCUUUCUACUCUUGGAACUCCUGAUUAUAUUUAAAACAUGAAUAUGCUAGUUAACUCAAAGGAAUCCCAGCCAAUCUGAUUCUAAGUUUGCUGGUGUCUUCUUGAUCCAUUGGCUAGAUUCUGUUUGUUUGGAAUAUUGGUGCCAGUCUUUAUUAAAAUUCUUGCCAAAAUUUUUGCAGGAAUAUAAAAAAUAGUGACCCAUUUUAAGUAGCCCCCAUAUGAUGAAAUGUGGAUUUCAGGGAAACGAUUCAGUUUGGACACCUAGGCUAUAACAUCUUUGUGGUUUUUCAAUAACUUAUAGAGACUCAUUGGAACAGAUUAAAUGGCUAGCCAAACAAAGCUAGAUAUGUGUUUUUAAAAAAUCGAUUCUAAAGUGGGUGUGUGAAACAGUGCAGAAAAGGAGAGCUAUUCAGGAAAAAGAAAAUCUUAAUGCAUUUAAGUGUUAAAUGGUUUUUAUAUGAGUAAAAAUCAAAUGAAAGGAGAUUAUUUAUAUAUGUAUGUACCGAUAUACCACCCAUUUGAGGAAGCCUCCAUUGUAAUAAAGCCUAUUUUUAAUAUGUCAUAGUAUUUGACCUAUAUUAUGUUGCCUACGGCAGGAAAGGAUGAAAUUUAGGUUCUUAUUUCAUAGUUACCUAGUUCAGUAUGUAUCUGUUAAACUCAGUUGGGUUGGCAAGUUCUUACUGAAUAUUAAAGGAGGAACUGGUUGAGAAAAUUUUCACAGACUCAUUGCAUUGCCCCUGUCCUCCCAGUUGUCUGUCCUGCAUCCAGACUGUAUUGAAAUUAAGAGUAAAGAAUCGAUCUAUCUUGAUGGCGACAUCAAAUAUGAUUUUGGAAAAGACUUGGGUUUCGGUCAAUCUCGAAAUUUUCCUUAACAUAAAAUCAAUCCUAUUAUCAAGCUCUUGGUCAGGGAUGGUUUCAGUGGUUGAUUUAUUGUUCAUGGUACUUUGUGCAAUGAGAGUGCUAAAGUCUACCACCAAGCCCAGUGAGUGUUCAUGAGCCUCCACUUAGUGCACCCACCCCCUUUCAAUCAGGUUAAUGAUUUCUUUUGUUUUAACUUGAUGCUUAUACAUAAAUGCCACUGCCAAGAUUGGAUAAUGUCAACAAUGCCCUUUGAUUCACUAUCACUCCUAAUUCACCAUGCAGCAGUGAUAAAAGAUAGGAGGGAGCCAUUUCAAGCCCUCCAGAAACCAUCACCUUUAUGACCACCACCAUUUCCCACAUCAGCUAGUCCACCCUGGUCUGCCCAGCCAUUGAUCAUAUUCACUGCUGAGGCUUACUGCCAUGAUUUCUGAUUUUACAAAGGAAUCCAUUCAUCCUCAGUUCCUUCCGUCCACCCUUGGGCGACUGUGCUGUUCAUUGUACUACCUCCAGGGAAUGGUGAAUGAUGAAACAGAAAGGAGGUAAAACUCAAAUCAGUCCAAUUUACUACUCAUACAAUCAUCCGAUAACUUUUAGGUUGAUUUGGUUACAAUGAGGUAUAAUGGGUUUAUCUGCAGAUUUGGAUUACCCAACCCUUCUUGUUCCCCAUUUACUACAGUUUGUGAAGAGUUAACCAAAGUCUUUGAAGAUGAUAAAUGGGAAGGGGGGAAAGGUGCUAAAAGCAUAAAUGUUGAUUUGGCUUCCUUCACUGUUGUGAUUUCUUUGACAUCUCUAUACUUUUUACCAGGCCAAAGAUGAAUUAAUUUAUUCAUCAGAGAACAGAACCUCAACUGUUGGGCAAAUCCACUUUAAAUUUUUAAAUCUCUAAGAAAGAUGUGUUUAAUUUCUGUGCUUUGAAUGAUUCUCCUUUCUUGUAUGAAGGCAGGAUGGUUUCUAUAUUCUGGUAGAUCUGAACGAUAGUUCCAAAUGGACAUAAUGCCCAUUUUUUUUUUUUCAUUUUUAGAGUUGGACAUUACUCAGCUCCCUGGUAAAAGAAUAUAGUUAAAGGUGCUUUAUUUCACAGCAUAAAAUAUUUUCAUUCUAAUUCUUUGCAAAAAUGAGCUAGUUCCUAAGCAUCAUGGAGGCACUUAGAAAAUUUAUCCCCAUUUAAAUGGGAGGGAGAAAAACCAUUAAAACAGAACAACAAUCCUCGGCGUGUGAGCAAAUCCAUGGAUAUAAUUGGAACCACAAAGCUAAGAACAAACAAAAAACCCUCUUGAUGUGUUGAUGAAAAUUUCGUUUCUAUUAGAAUGAGACAUGGCUUCUUUAAAGAAUCUUUGCAGACCUCAUGGUAACCAAAUCCUAGACCAUUGAACCUCUGAAUGCCAUUCAUUUAUGAACCUUAUUUAUCAAAGAGCAUUUUUGUCCUGCUGUCUCUGAUUGUCAUGGAAAGUUCUGUAAUGCUAAGGUGUUUCAGGUUUUCUUUUUUCUUUCUUAUUUUUUUUUAAUUUCUUACUUUAUUUUUUCCAUUUGUACCACAGUCCAACUAGCUACCAUUUCCCCCACUCCUUGGGCUUUCUGUAGAUCAGUGGAUGUUAGGUUUAAACUUCUGUUUUCUUUGAUGAAGCUUUCAAUAAAAAAUGAAAACAAAA